This 490-nucleotide ribosomal RNA is filed under the name uncultured bacterium. Its description in RNAcentral is "partial 16S ribosomal RNA". It matches the Rfam family "Bacterial small subunit ribosomal RNA", at positions 30 to 507 of the family's 1533-position model. The record is from RNAcentral.
AUUGAACGCUGGCGGCAGGCCUAACACAUGCAAGUCGAACGGUAACAGGAAGCAGCUUGCUGCUUUGCUGACGAGUGGCGGACGGGUGAGUAAUGUCUGGGAAACUGCCUGAUGGAGGGGGAUAACUACUGGAAACGGUAGCUAAUACCGCAUAACGUCGCAAGACGAAAGAGGGGGACCUUAGGGCCUCUUGCCAUCGGAUGUGCCCAGAUGGGAUUAGCUAGUAGGUGGGGUAACGGCUCACCUAGGCGACGAUCCCUAGCUGGUCUGAGAGGAUGACCAGCCACACUGGAACUGAGACACGGUCCAGACUCCUACGGGAGGCAGCAGUGGGGAAUAUUGCACAAUGGGCGCAAGCCUGAUGCAGCCAUGCCGCGUGUAUGAAGAAGGCCUUCGGGUUGUAAAGUACUUUCAGCGGGGAGGAAGGGAGUAAAGUUAAUACCUUUGCUCAUUGACGUUACCCGCAGAAGAAGCACCGGCUAACUCCGUG